RNAcentral lists this ribosomal RNA (159 nucleotides) under uncultured Piloderma. RNAcentral's name for it is "5.8S ribosomal RNA". It matches the Rfam family "5.8S ribosomal RNA". Rfam says of the family: 5.8S ribosomal RNA (5.8S rRNA) is a component of the large subunit of the eukaryotic ribosome. It is transcribed by RNA polymerase I as part of the 45S precursor that also contains 18S and 28S rRNA. The record is from RNAcentral. Lineage: Eukaryota; Fungi; Basidiomycota; Agaricomycetes; Atheliales; Atheliaceae.
CAACUUUCAACAACGGAUCUCUUGGCUCUCGCAUCGAUGAAGAACGCAGCGAAAUGCGAUAAGUAAUGUGAAUUGUAGAUUUUCAGUGAAUCAUCGAAUCUUUGAACGCACCUUGCGCUCCUUGGUAUUCCGAGGAGCAUGCCUGUUUGAGUGUCAUUA